Molecule: long non-coding RNA, 930 nt
Organism: Condylostylus longicornis
Lineage: Eukaryota; Metazoa; Arthropoda; Insecta; Diptera; Dolichopodidae
Exons: 3
Source: RefSeq, a predicted model, not a curated record
GUUGUUUUUGUGCUUAAAGUACUAAUAUUUCUUAUUUCAGAAUAAAAUUUUACAUCAAGGAGACCAACAUGAGGACCAGAAGUCUGUACCGACCAAGGAUAAUGGAUCAAAACAAGUUUUUUGUAGCAUGUUGGACCGCAGCUAAACAUUCUCCUGGCUUUGAUGUCCACGUUUAGUGGGUAUCAAUAACACUAUUAUGAUUCAUGCCAAAGCUUCAACACGAUGACGUCACCUGGAAGAAAAAAGGUGGAUAAGGAAAUGAAGGGGAUAUAGCGUCCCGACUAGCUUUCAGCAGCGAAAGGAUUUAAGGAUGCGGAAGGAAUUGCAGCAACCAUAAUUUUUUUUUAGUUUUAAUAUUAUAGUAGUUUUGUUUAGAAUAGUUUUUAAGUUUAUUUAUUUUAAAUAUUAUGAUAUUUUUAAGAUGAAAUUUGCUAGGUUCCAAUUCGCGUUAUCUUAUAAGUAGGAUCGGUUUGUUGAGUAGUGUUUUUUUUUUGUUUUUAAAUUUAUUUAUUUUUUUUGUUCGCGUUUCGUUUAAUUUAAAUUAAUUCUUUUCUAUUAGAGUUGUCUUGCUCGACCGGUAGUACGCAUAUUUUAGUUAUCGCGCGUUUUAAUAUUAAAUUUUUAGUUCGAAUCGUACCAAACCAUCCGCACCAGGGUGCGUCUCGAUAAUUCGUUCCAUGAUCCAUCUGCUCGGUGUUAGGUUCUCCUCCUUUAGUAAUACAAGAUCACCCACCUUGACAUUUUCUUGUUUUGUUGCCCAUUUAGGUCGUGGUUGUAGUCGAGAAAGGUACUCCUUGUUCCAACGACGCCAAAAACUUUGCACUAAGUUUUUUAUCUGACUCCAACAAUCUAAUCUGCUGAUAUUAGUAUCCAGUACCGAUGGUUCUGGUGGUGAUAAUAAUAUGUCACCAAUCAGGAAAUGUGUUGGUG